RNAcentral lists this transfer RNA (89 nucleotides) under Streptomyces sp. AVP053U2. Its description in RNAcentral is "tRNA-Val". The record is from RNAcentral. Lineage: Bacteria; Bacillati; Actinomycetota; Actinomycetes; Kitasatosporales; Streptomycetaceae.
CCCGGUCUGGCGGGGGUGCUGCGGCCGGACGCGCUGCUGGUGGACACCCUGUCGGUCAAGCAGCCGAUCACCGCGGCCGUCCGGGCCCA